This is a long non-coding RNA of Entelurus aequoreus (snake pipefish), 1031 nucleotides long. RefSeq lists it as uncharacterized. The record is from RefSeq and is a predicted model, not a curated record. Lineage: Eukaryota; Metazoa; Chordata; Actinopteri; Syngnathiformes; Syngnathidae. The transcript has 3 exons.
ACGCACGCUAUAAGCAGGUUUCGCUAUUUUUUUAAGGGUUUUUUAACACAAGAACAUACAACACAUUGUAGAAUUGUCAUGUUGUGAUGUUAGCAAUGCUAAAGCUAACAGCUAACUACUAUGCAGGCGCUCGCUGUCAACAGCAGGUUAGCUUGCUAGCUUAGCUUAGCUUAGCUUAGCUUUAGCCAGCGCUCAGGCUCCUUACCUCGGUAUCGUUAAACAUUCCGUGUUGACAUUCUGUGUCGUGAUGGCCUUUUCCAACUCCUCCAAUUGUCCCGUCUUCUUCAACUUCUUCACCAGACUUUUCACAGCCUUUUCGCACCAUUUCUCCUCCUGGCCGUUCUGCUCGCCCUUCUUCCAACCGAGCAGCCUCUUCACGAUCGGAGGCGUGAAGGCGAAUGUGUGAGCUAAGCCGCCUGCUUGCUCGCCCUCUCCCCAAAAAGGUGGCUGGUAGCUGAGGGGGGGCACCCUCUCUCGUCUCUGUCCGCUCAAGUCGACUGAAUGUCGGUCAGAAAGCAGCAGAACACCCGCUUGUCCUCUUGCCUGCCUUUCUGCCGGCACCUCCUCCUCCUCCUCCUGCUGCUGCUCGCCGGUCAGCUGCUCCACCAUCCCUCCACCUGCUGCUUAAUAAACAUACUAUGAUUUGGACAACCAUCUGUUGUCACACCUGCCAGCUUGUCCCAUUUCAGUCCCAACAUGUCCAAACACGCAUUUACCUAUGCAAACAAGUCAUUACCUGUGGUUGUCUCUUAAAUUGACUGCAUGGCUGCCAGCUCCUCCGUGAUUUGAAAGUCUGCAGUUAUCCCACGUAAGAAGAUGAGCAGCUGGGCGGUGUCACGUACAUCGCAGCUCUCAUCCAAAGCCAGCGAAAAACAGUCAAAGUCGGCCGUUCUGUUCUUCAGCUGAAGCUCCAAGUUUCCAGCGAUGGUCUCAACCCAACACGUGACAAAGAAGUUGGGAAAGGUGGCAAUAAAUACUGAUAAAGUUGAGGAAUGCUCAUCAAACACUUAUUUGGAACAUCCCACAGGUGA